Tachysurus fulvidraco (yellow catfish) is the source of this 438-nucleotide long non-coding RNA. RefSeq lists it as uncharacterized. The record is from RefSeq and is a predicted model, not a curated record. Lineage: Eukaryota; Metazoa; Chordata; Actinopteri; Siluriformes; Bagridae. The transcript has 3 exons.
CUGACCUGUGCAGCACAUGAGCGUGAACAGUCGACGUCAGAUAAAGAUCCAGAGAGAAAUAUGAGAGCAGGCUAAAUCCCAGCACCUGAGGGAAAACCGGUGAGUGUGUAACUUGCAGUCGCUGCCAUGGCAGAGCUGACACUAGGGCUUCCACGUGUAUGUGUGUGUCAUGCACUGACUGUGAGCUCCUCCCCCACUGAAGUCUAGAGUUCCCCUCCACAUUCACAAGCCUCGUCAGCACGGGGCUUCAUGCACAGCUGUCCACAGAGGUAGGCAAAAACGUGCGCUCUCGCUUCACAUCUCACUCACAACUUGAGGAUGAGUGUUUACUUCAGAAGACUCAACAGUCCAUGGAACUUUCCAGCUCUGUGGAGGCAGUGAUGCCAGCAAAACAAAAGUGAAAGUGACCACUCAGGAGAGAAGGACCUGGAAAACUAG